Molecule: ribosomal RNA, 1066 nt
Filed under: bacterium
Lineage: Bacteria
Description: bacterial SSU rRNA
Rfam family: Bacterial small subunit ribosomal RNA
Source: RNAcentral
GCAAUGGCGGCAGACUACACAUGCAAGUCCGAGCGGCAGCACGGGUACUUUGUACCUGGUGGCGAGCGGCGGACGGGUGAGUAAUGCCUAGGAAUCUGCCUAGUAGUGGGGGAUAACGUCCGGAAACGGGCGCUAAUACCGCAUACGUCCUACGGGAGAAAGUGGGGGAUCUUCGGACCUCACGCUAUUAGAUGAGCCUAGGUCGGAUUAGCUAGUUGGUGAGGUAAUGGCUCACCAAGGCGACGAUCCGUAACUGGUCUGAGAGGAUGAUCAGUCACACUGGAACUGAGACACGGUCCAGACUCCUACGGGAGGCAGCAGUGGGGAAUAUUGGACAAUGGGCGAAAGCCUGAUCCAGCCAUGCCGCGUGUGUGAAGAAGGUCUUCGGAUUGUAAAGCACUUUAAGUUGGGAGGAAGGGCAGUUACCUAAUACGUGAUUGUUUUGACGUUACCGACAGAAUAAGCACCGGCUAACUCUGUGCCAGCAGCCGCGGUAAUACAGAGGGUGCAAGCGUUAAUCGGAAUUACUGGGCGUAAAGCGCGCGUAGGUGGUUUGUUAAGUUGGAUGUGAAAUCCCCGGGCUCAACCUGGGAACUGCAUCCAAAACUGGCAAGCUAGAGUAUGGUAGAGGGUGGUGGAAUUUCCUGUGUAGCGGUGAAAUGCGUAGAUAUAGGAAAGGAACACCAGUGGCGAAAGCGACCACCUGGACUGAUACUGACACUGAGUGCGAAAGCGUGGGGAGCAAACAGGAUUAGAUACCCUGGUAGUCCACGCCGUAAACGAUGUCAACUAGCCGUUUGGGGAGCCUUGAGCUCUUAGUGGCGCAGCUAACGCAUUAAGUUGACCGCCUGGGGGGAGUACGGCCGCAAGGUAAAACUCAAAUGAAUUGACGGGGGCCCGCACAAGCGGUGGGAGCAUGGUGGUUACUCCGAAGCACGCGAAGAACUACAGGCUGACAUCAUGACUUCUAGAGAAUAGAUUGAUGCUCCAGGUAACAUGAAACAGGUGCCUGCAUGGCUGUCGUCAGACUCAGUCUGGCAAGUUAGAUUAAGUCCGGUACCGAAGC